Molecule: ribosomal RNA, 303 nt
Filed under: Escherichia coli PA2
Lineage: Bacteria; Pseudomonadati; Pseudomonadota; Gammaproteobacteria; Enterobacterales; Enterobacteriaceae
Description: partial 16S ribosomal RNA
Rfam family: Bacterial large subunit ribosomal RNA
Source: RNAcentral
UGGCAUAAGCCAGCUUGACUGCGAGCGUGACGGCGCGAGCAGGUGCGAAAGCAGGUCAUAGUGAUCCGGUGGUUCUGAAUGGAAGGGCCAUCGCUCAACGGAUAAAAGGUACUCCGGGGAUAACAGGCUGAUACCGCCCAAGAGUUCAUAUCGACGGCGGUGUUUGGCACCUCGAUGUCGGCUCAUCACAUCCUGGGGCUGAAGUAGGUCCCAAGGGUAUGGCUGUUCGCCAUUUAAAGUGGUACGCGAGCUGGGUUUAGAACGUCGUGAGACAGUUCGGUCCCUAUCUGCCGUGGGCGCUGG